AGAGUUUGAUCCUGGCUCAGGAUAAACGCUGGCGGCGUGCCUAACACAUGCAAGUCGAACGCCCUACGCAAGUAGGGAGUGGCGGACGGGUGAGGAACACGUGGGUCAUCUACCUUGGGGUGAGGAAUACCGGCGAGAAAUCGCCGACAAUACCGCAUACGUUUGGAAACAAAGAAAGCUCGCGCAAGCGGGCGCCCGAA
Molecule: ribosomal RNA, 200 nt
Filed under: uncultured bacterium
Lineage: Bacteria
Description: partial 16S ribosomal RNA
Rfam family: Bacterial small subunit ribosomal RNA
Source: RNAcentral